UCAUGCCUGCACCACUCUGUAUGAUGCUUGGUCACAAUGGGCGGUCCCCUUCUCCUGAACAUGGAUCCCAAGAACCAGGGAAGAAGGCCACUGCCUGUCUGCCCGGCAGCAGUGGGUGACAGAGUGGAGAUACAGGCCGUUGCCCUGCCACCAAGCCCUGCUGCAAGCAAGCGUCUCAGAGCAGACUGUUUCACAGGAGAAAAUGUGUAGGACUCACUGAGUUCUUAGAGAAUGUCACUUCAGUCCGCUUAGAAUGACAACAGGUUAGGCUGAGAAGAGACAGCUUAUCCAGCCCAUCUUUGCCAGCCCAAGACAGAGUGGCUGGCGGAGCAGGCACCCACCCGCGUGCAGUCCACGCUCUGCAGAGGGAAACAGGCAUCCUGGCUUCCAGUCAACCGCAUCUGGACAGCGGUGGAGGAGGUUGUGAGCUAGAGCCACACCCACGCACCCACGCCCACCUCUCCUGGGGGUGAGAUGUGACAGUCUAACCCAGAUCCCAAGUCACAUCCUGCCAAGACUUCACAGCGUUUCAAAGAACUUCUAAGUACAGGUUCUUUCCAAAUACACUGGUUUCUUAAAACUCACCAAAAAAAGUCAAACGCCAGAAAAGGGGAUUUCUGAAAGCCACCCACCAGGAUGGCAUCUGGUACUUGGUAGUUUCAAAUAUUAAGAAAAGAAAGAAAAAUCGGUGUUGAUUAGGCAGUAUCUAAUCUCCCUGAGCACAGGAAGUGAAGGCGAUUGAGCCUGAUUUGCAGGGGCCUUGAGGUUGUACAAAGCAGUCGCUCCCCAACAGGGCCCACUCACUGCCUGCAGAGUCCUCUGCUUUGCCGGCCUCCGACCGAGCACACCCGAGGGAAAGCACCAUUAAAUUCCCUGUGAGCUCUGCAACCAACGAGCCGCACAAGGGGAAGGCUGCUGGCAUGGAAACAUCACACAUGAGUUACAGGAGCGUGAUGGGCGCACGGCGCCGAGGGAGCCUUCACUGUGGUGGCUUCGUUGUGGUUCCUGGGCUUCCUCUAGGCAAGAUCACAUCUCCAGUGACGCCCAGCAGGGCGAUGGAGACACGCAUCACUUCCUCCCUCAGCAGAAGGUGCAAAUGAAAGACACGCCUCCAAGUCCUGGGCUGGCUGCUCCCUGUGCUGACUGCAAGAUCUCUGUGGGCUCUGGUUGUUUACCUGGGCAUUCGGGGCCUCGUGCGCAGAAGCCCCCACCCCAGCCAAAGCACACAUGCAGGAAUUCAGCUGUUUGGUUUUCCCCGGGGAAUCUCUGGAGAGCAUUGCUUAAUAUUCUUGAUUUAUUCUUCUUGACCAAAAAAUAA
Molecule: long non-coding RNA, 1318 nt
Filed under: Oryctolagus cuniculus (rabbit)
Lineage: Eukaryota; Metazoa; Chordata; Mammalia; Lagomorpha; Leporidae
Description: lncRNA (ENSOCUG00000031645.1)
Source: RNAcentral